Molecule: ribosomal RNA, 301 nt
Filed under: uncultured bacterium
Lineage: Bacteria
Description: partial 16S ribosomal RNA
Rfam family: Bacterial small subunit ribosomal RNA
Source: RNAcentral
CAGUAGCCGCGGUAAUACGUAGGGGGCAAGCGUUAUCCGGAUCCAUUGGGCGUAAAGCGCUCGUAGGCGGUCUGUUAGGUCGGGAGUUAAAUCCGGAGGCUCAACCUCCGCCCGCUCCCGAUACCGGCAGACUUGAGUUUGGUAGGGGAAGGUGGAAUUCCUAGUGUAGCGGUGGAAUGCGCAGAUGUUAGGAAGAACACCAGUGGCGAAGGCGGCCUUCUGGGCCAUAACUGACGCUGAGGAGCGAAAGCUAGGGGAGCAAACAGGAUUAGAUACCCCGGUAGUCCCUGUCUCUUAUACA